GGGAUUGCCCUAGUAACGGCGAGUGAAGCGGCAACAGCUCAAAUUUGAAAUCUGGCUUUCGGGCCCGAGUUGUAAUUUGUAGAGGAUACUUUUGAUGCGGUGCCUUCCGAGUUCCCUGGAACGGGACGCCAUAGAGGGUGAGAGCCCCGUCUGGUUGGAUGCCAAAUCUCUGUAAAGUUCCUUCGACGAGUCGAGUAGUUUGGGAAUGCUGCUCUAAAUGGGAGGUAUAUGUCUUCUAAAGCUAAAUAUUGGCCAGAGACCGAUAGCGCACAAGUAGAGUGAUCGAAAGAUGAAAAGCACUUUGAAAAGAGAGUUAAAAAGUACGUGAAAUUGUUGAAAGGGAAGCGUUUAUGACCAGACUUGGACUUGGUUAAUCAUCUGGGGUUCUCCCCAGUGCACUUUUCCAGUUCAGGCCAGCAUCAGUUUUCGCCGGGGGAUAAAGGCUUCGGGAAUGUAGCUCUCUUCGGGGAGUGUUAUAGCCCGUUGUGUAAUACCCUGGCGGAGACUGAGGUUCGCGCUUCUGCAAGGAU
RNAcentral lists this ribosomal RNA (530 nucleotides) under Fusarium sp. IFO 7772. Its description in RNAcentral is "eukaryotic LSU rRNA". It matches the Rfam family "Eukaryotic large subunit ribosomal RNA", at positions 71 to 624 of the family's 3401-position model. The record is from RNAcentral. Lineage: Eukaryota; Fungi; Ascomycota; Sordariomycetes; Hypocreales; Nectriaceae.